CAGGUGUAGCUCAAUGGUAGAGCGUCGGCUUCCCAAGCCGAUAACGUGGGUUCGAUUCCCAUCACCUG
RNAcentral lists this transfer RNA (68 nucleotides) under bovine gut metagenome. It matches the Rfam family "tRNA". Rfam says of the family: Transfer RNA (tRNA) molecules are approximately 80 nucleotides in length. The record is from RNAcentral.